CCUACGGGUGGCAGCAGUGAGGAAUAUUGGUCAAUGGGCGCGAGCCUGAACCAGCCAAGUCGCGUGAAGGAUGACUGCCCUACGGGUUGUAAACUUCUUUUAUAAAGGCAUAAAGUGAGGCACGUGUGCCUUUUUGUACGUACUUUAUGAAUAAGGAUCGGCUAACUCCGUGCCAGCAGCCGCAGUAAUACGGAGGAUCCAAGCGUUAUCCGGAUUUAUUGGUUUUAAAGGGAGCGUAGGUGGGUUGUUAAGUAAGUUGUGAAAGUUUGCGGCUCAACCGUAAAAUUGCAAUUGAUACUGGCAGCCUUGAGUACAGUUGAGGUAGGCGGAAUGCGUGGUGUAGCGGUGAAAUGCUUAGAUAUCACGCAGAACUCCGAUUGCGAAGGCAGCCUACUAAACUGCCACUGACGCUGAUGCACGAAAGUGUGGGUAUCAAACAGGAUUAGAUACCCCGGUAGUC
Molecule: ribosomal RNA, 460 nt
Filed under: uncultured bacterium
Lineage: Bacteria
Description: partial 16S ribosomal RNA
Rfam family: Bacterial small subunit ribosomal RNA
Source: RNAcentral